Molecule: long non-coding RNA, 1551 nt
Organism: Astatotilapia calliptera (eastern happy)
Lineage: Eukaryota; Metazoa; Chordata; Actinopteri; Cichliformes; Cichlidae
Source: Ensembl
UUACUUGAGAAUAUAUUUGACUGUGUUACAGACUAAGGGACAUUCUCUGCUGAUAGACGUCCACGCCUCGAAGGAAGUCGAUCCACGGAUUAGGCCCUGGAAACCGUUUCCUUCAGGCUCAAUAACAAUUUAUAAUUUACAGUUUGAUGAUUUAAAGUCUCACACACAACCCAUCGAAAGGGGAGGGGGGCGGCUGCUUCCAAAUAGAGCGCAUUUCAUUCAUAAUGAUGUAAAUCCAAGUCCAUUAUCUAUUCAUGAUUUGAAUCCUGGGUUGUGUGAAAUCCCAGAAAUAAACCCGAGACAAAGUGAAUCUGUGAACUAAGGUGUAGGUCUAUUAGGUUAUGUUGUGGUGAUCGGACAACAUGACGGAGGGACUGGAUUGCAGGGUAAGUCCUGAGACACACGGUAGUACAAGAAAUCCCUUUCACUGGAAAGAACAGUGACUGUCGCUGCCCCCUCUGUCUUCCAGUACUCCAGAGCGAAGAGACAGGACGGCCGGGGACAUCGCUGGGUUUUCUUUGCCUCGCUCCGAUUUUAGUGGAUUUUAAUGCUGUGGGUGACGCCACUGGAUUUUUUGUGUUGUUUUUAUGUUUUUACUGUGUGUUCUCCCUGGCCAGGGGUGUUUAACUGUUUUAAAAAAUAAAUAAAUUGUGAAAUAAAUUAUAUUUUCGUAAUCGAGUUUUAUAUUGUUCUUUUGCCUUGGCUACUCCACUGCUCUGUCCGUUUUUUGAGGGGUUUCCCUUCACUUAGAAUAAAACCACCUACAUAUCUGGCUAUUCUGAACAUGUCAGUGUCCUGUAACCAUCCGUCGGUAAACUGGAACUGGGCUUGUUGCAGGGAUCUGAAGUUACUAAACACUUCAUGAGUGUAUGCACUCACACUUAAGACCAUAUAAUUAUAAAUAUGAGCGUGAUGAAAGCUGGGCAGCACGCUAACGGCCACUCUUAUGCUUGUAUGGGUCUAACCCUUUCACUCCUUUGAUUUUUUUUCCUCGUACCUUUUUUUUUUUUUUUUUUUUGCCUUUUCAUCAAGUCUGUCUGUGUCAGACCUGCCGCUUUCUCCUUCGUUUUGUACAUAACUGUUUUGGGGGCAAAUAAUAUGCAAGUAGGGAUUAAAACUGCAGAAUGAAUGGUUACCGGUGAUGGAAAUGCUAGCGCUUGAUGCAGUGUUUUGAUUUUGCUGCUACUGGUACCUACAAUGCAACGCGUGCAAGUCACGUGGUCUGUCAAUCUCUAUACAUGUGUUUGUGUGUUCAUUUGGCCCCAUUGUACUUCUGUAUGUUCUCAUCCUCCUCCUUUUUGAUGUUGUUAUCUGCUAGGCUUUGGUCUUCUGCUCCUUGUCUGGUUUUUAACCAUCUUUGAUAGUGUCUCCUAUUGGAACUUGGAAACAGGACCAUGUUGCAGACUGUACAACGGUGCCCCGGAGACUAUUCAACACAUACUAGAAGGGUGUGAAAAAAAAAAAGUGGUCCCAUUGGUCAUGAGAGCAUUAGGAGACAAAGUCUCCUAAUGCAUAAAUGCAGGAGACAUUGUCGCAGAUUUCAGACACAAC